Triticum dicoccoides is the source of this 4577-nucleotide RNA transcript. It is a transcript of the gene named pre-mRNA splicing factor SR-like 1, with no coding region annotated. Lineage: Eukaryota; Viridiplantae; Streptophyta; Magnoliopsida; Poales; Poaceae. The record is from RefSeq and is a predicted model, not a curated record. The transcript has 13 exons.
CCCCCUCUUCCCUUUCUCCUCGCCUCUCCUUCCCCCGCAAACUGUUCGCUGGGAGACCCCGCCUCCACUCCACCGCGCCGCCGCUGCCGCCGCCGUGGCCAUCCCGGCGAGCACAUACCUUAGCUCCGCGGCAUAUAGGAGGUCUCCCGGCUGUUGACCCACAGGAUAGGGCUGCCCUCGCCGCAAAACCCACCCAGCCAGCCGCCCCCCUUCCCUUUCCUCGCCUCUCCUUCCCCCGCAAACUGUUCGCUGGGAGACCCCGCCUCCACUCCACCGCGCCGCCGUGGCCUUCCCGGCGCGCACAUACCUUAGCUCCGCUGCUUUGUUCACUGACACAGCUAAACAGUGGGUACGUAAAUGGAGAUGAAGUCGUCUAAACGGCCCUUCGAGUUGCUCAUAGAGAAGAGGCUAUGCCUUGAAAUCCUCAGAUCUGAUUACAUCAAAAUGUUUCACAAGAUUAAGGUCCACAAGAAUGCCAUAGACGAGAUUUACAAUCAAGUCAACCAUGUUGAGCCAUGGAUGAUUAACGACAAGAGGGUCCCUGGGCACGAUACCUUCAUUGCCCUCACCAAUCCCGUCCGCAUUGUCCCCUCCAAGGCCUUCUGCCUCCUUUACAAGUCCUUCACCAUGAAACUUACCACGAAGCAGAUCAAGGACCUAAUUGACAACACGCACUCGCCUUAUGUCAGAGCUAUUGGAUUUUUAUACCUGCGGUAUGUUGCGGAACCAGAUACCUUAUGGACUUGGUAUGAGCCCUACAUUCGAGAUGACGAGAAGUUUUCGCCUGGACCCAAUGGUCAAAUGACUACUAUGGGCGUUUAUGUGCGUGAUCUCCUCCUGGGUGAGCGCUACUUCGGCAGUCCUCUUCCGCGAAUGCCAACCCGAGUUUUGCAAGAGGUCAUGGCCGAUCUUAAGACGAUGAGGCUCCCAACAAAACUGUCAGGGAUAAUUCAGUAUUCUUCCGUACAAGGAAGUGAAAGUGGUCAUGCAAAAUCUCCACCGAGGAAGCACCGAAGUCAAAGUUGUGAGAGUAGUCAUGAUACUGAGAGGAACCAUUCAGAGCAUGAUCGUCCUAGGCACAAUGUUAGGGAGCAAGGUCGGCAAGCCCAAGUCAAGAAAGACCUUGAAAGGGAUGAUGAGAGACGUAGGGGUUCUGACCGAAAUGGCUGUUCGAGUGGACGCCGCAGGAGCAGAAGCAGGAGCCGUGAAAGGAGGGACUGGGGACUUGACCGUGAAAGGAAGGACCCUGGUCGAAACAGGCGUUCGAGAGGCCGCAGUGGCAGGAGCAGGAGCAGGAGCAGGAGUAGGGGCAGGAGGUGGAGCAGGGGCGAGCACGAGCCUGAGCAGGAGCAGGAGCGUCAGCCCCACUUCAUUUUGCGAAGAUGAAGGGAGUAUGGCGAACGCCAUCUAACAUAUAAAGCCUGCUAGACUACCCGCUGUUCCAGCGGCAUUGCGUUCGCGCAGCAUUUUCAACCGCACGAUGCAUUUACUGUUUGCAGUUUUACCCUGCUGUCAAUUGGCCAACCGCUCGUUGCAUUCACACACGUCCAAUAAUUAUGUAGCUCUAUGACUGAUGGGGUCGAGUGUCUAUGGGGCCACUGAGCGGAGGCUGGGUUUCUCUUGAGCUGGGUGGGCGAUUGGCUGGUGGACCGCAGUUCGUGGUUGGGUGGGAGCGACGUGAAGGGAUGGGUUUUCCCUGGUCUACGCAGACCGUGCUCUACCCUGCUGUUUCGAUGGUCCCGGUUGGCAUUUGGGCCUGCUGUGAAGUGGCUUGGGUGCUCAGGUAGCUCAUACGAGAGGGAUUGCCAACUGGAUAAGAGCGGCGUGGCGGUCUCGACCAUUGGUCAGAGGCCAUGUGACCUAGCCGCCCGCAGCUGCAGCCGCCUCCUCUCCUCUUCCUCGUUCUCCUGCCGCCGCCGCCGCCUCCUCUCCUCUCCCCGAAUUCUCCUACCUCAGUCGUCGUUGUCGCCGCCGCCGCCGUCGACCUAGACGUCACCGGCUGAGACCGCUGUGGUAUGGAUAAGGAGACGAGAGGAAGAGGACAUCCUUCCCUGACAGCGCCCCGACCUGCCAGGUCAUCCUCCUCGUCGGCCUAGGUCUGGUUCUGCUGGAUUAGAUGGACAGAAGUGGUGGAUCCGAUGGUUGCCGGAAUCCCUCAUCGUCGGAGGAAGGCGUGCGACCGGCAAAGAAAUAGGCUGAUGGAGCAGGAUGGGGUGGCGGUUCAAGUUCGGCGGCCUUCGCGUGUUGUGGUUGGCGGCGCUGCACUUCCCUUCUCCCCUGCCCAGAUUAUCCUUCAAAGGAGGCCACAAAGAGCAGCGAUGGCUUCUUGGUAAUCUGCAAUUGGCCACAAAGGAUGAGGUACAUGGAGAUUGCCAGCCACCUUCCAUUGGUGUAUAUGCAAGCUACAGAGAAAACCAAAUAUGCACCAUGCCGAUAUGCUUCAUGACGAGUGUGCUUUUGUCAUCCCUCACCCUCUCAGAUGGCCAUUAGGUGCUAACCAAGAGGUGCACGCCAUGAAUCAAACUACCGAGGGGGCAUACAGUAAUAAGGAGGGAGUGGCUAUCGCAGCGAAGCUACCCUCCCCCUCAAUCAUGCACUGCUUUUCAAACGCAGUUUGCCACUGCUGUUUAAUUAGCUUCUGCAUUAGCAGCGGAUUCAGAGUUUAUUCUUCAGCGGAUUCAAUUUGCGGGAGACUCCUGUUGCAGUUUGGUGACAUAGAUCAGUGUCAAGUCGCUUAACAAAUGCAGCUAGGUUCCAUUCAGUUAGCCAAAGCCAUUGUGCAUUAAAAUUGUAGAUGUGCAUGAGAGUGUGGAAAUCAUUAUGGCACGUCUAUGAGCAUGCUAUACUCCCAUGCUACUUUCAGUUAUUGACCACUAGCUUUAUUACAGCACCCAGGAUUUCAGGGUUUGCUUUACUUAGGUUAGUAUGUACUCUACCACAGAUGAAUUGGUUAUAUCUCAUUUUAAUAUACUUCAUUAGUAAUUACUAAAUAAUCUAAAGCGAGUUCUAUGGCAAAUUUUGUUUGGGUCUACUUUUUUGGAUCAUUUCCAUAUCUACAUUUCUUACAUAUAAAGGUAUGCUGCAAAAAUUAAGGGUCUGGAUGGUAAUUUAUGGCUGUUUCAGUUGCUGACCAUGUGAUUAUGGUAGUCUACAAUUUGCUUAUGGGUUCUUCAUUGCUUGAUUUUUAUCUCGGACAAAAGAGGGCCAGCCACACCUUUGAAAUAAGCAGCGGCCAUCCAGUCCAGAACAGACUGAAUCUGCUCGACAAAGUGUGAAAAUGCAAUUACUGCUUGGAAAAGUGUAAAAAAGGCUAGGGUAUCAUUUAUGUAGUUAUUUGGAAUGCAAGGUUAGGAAAUCCAAGAAAUAAGAUGAGAAGAGGAAUCUAGCAAAGGAAGGUGAAUCUUUUCUCUUGUGAAUACAACAAGAUUAUUGAAGAUUUUUGCUGCCAUGGAAUUGUGAGUUUGUGACUAUACAUUCUUGUGUCUUGAAGAUGUAUUGUCUCUGUAUGUGAAUGUCAAUAUCCAGGUAUGUAAGCAAGUCCUAACUUUUAUUCACAUAUUUAUCUAUGAAAUGCAUGCAAGCAAAUCACAUCUUACAGACAAAUGCCCCCUUAUAGGUAAAUGUGAUGAUUCAUAAAUUAACCGGUUGGAGAUAUGUAGAUAGUCAGGUGUACUGAUAACUGGAGUUUAGUGCUCAAAAUCCUUCUACCUUUUCUACUGACUGUAUUUUCUUGACGUCUUUAAGAGAAGAAUGAGUACUAUUAGUCAUUCUCUAUCAUGUAUAAUAGUACAAUACUGGAGAUGUGAAUGGAUAAUGUUCAUUUAGUAUAGUAUUAGUAGAUGAUGUUUUUUUUCUUCAGUCAACUCGUGUAUUUCCUGAUAUGUUCAGUCUAUUCCCAAAUUAGUUCGUAAAGUAGCCUUAACAAUUAUACAGUCUCUUUGUGUAUUAGUACUCUGUUUUCUUUGGUUUUUGGUCAGCUGGAAGAAUCAGUUUGUCAUAACAUGUGAAAAUGAUUUUAUUUACUUACGCUGUUGCUUUUAUCAGUUAGCAAAGAUGUUUGUCAAAUGUAGUAAGUUAGGCAUCGCAGUGAAGCUUAGCAAAGGGACUUCUGGUGAGGCCUACAAGGUUGGAAGCACUGUAUGUAAGGUGGUACCCUUUGAUGGAUAUUCAUUUGUCAACUAAUACAUGACCACACUAGAGAAGCACACGCCGCGCACACAAAAGGAUCCUAUCAGGUUCUAAAUAUAGUCCAUGAUAUCAUACAGUUUGAAGUCAAAAAAUUCAUGAUAUGGGUGAUAUGGAAAAGUCAUUGCCUUCUUUGCUGGAACAUUCCCUGAUUGCCUGGACUUCUUGGGUCAAUCGCUGGACGCCACCCCCGUCUUCUGGACGUCAUGACGCCGCCGAUUUCCUUGACGCCGCGUGCCACCGAUCUUCUAUAACUCAAUUUCUCCAAUUUCUCUCGGCUGAGAGCUCAUAUAUAUUUUUGAGCUGUGAACUUAUUAUGUAAACUCAACACUUUGUUUUGUGACAAGUGAACUCAUUUCAUAUUCAUCUAUCAAUCAUGGUUGAAGUGUCUA